UUUUAUUUAUUUAUUUUUUUUAUUCAAAGAAGGACAGUGCAGUGAGGCACCCAACAGUAAAUGGAGCAGAAUUUACCUGUUCCAAUGUACUGAGCUACAAUUCAUGAGGAACUACAGUAGGGUCAGGCACUGUAUUGGUUACUUAAAGUGGAUGAGUGUAUUGAAUCCUCUUGACAUGGGUAUUAUUACCCUGUCUUCUGGAUUAGGGGACUAAUACUCUGCAAGUUUCUGCAACUUGCCUAUCAGAUUCCCUGCCUUGUGCACUCUCUACUACUUCCCUUUUGGAAACUGCCUCCACGUCACCGCUGGGGGCGCCGUUUUCACAGAACACUGGGCUCCAGGAGAUGACUCUUUCCAGAACCAUGAAAUGUCCUCUUGAUAGAAUCCAAGUUGGGAUUUCUCUUUCCCCCAGAACAAUAGUAUAGAGGAGGGGUUGGAGACUAAUGUAUAACUAGGCUUAAAUUCAAAUCACUUUGAUUUCACACAUUGACUAGAAGUGCAUUGUACCUUAAUAGACCCAUACUCAUUAGUGGUAAAAUAAAGAAAUGUGAAAAUAAGAAAUCCCCAAAAUGUUUGUAUUGUUAUUUAUUUAUUGAAAGACAAAGUUACACACAUAGGGAUAUCUUCCACUGGUUCAUUUCCCAAAUGACCAGGGCUAGUCCAGGCCAAAGCCAGGAGCCCGGAACUCCACCAGGUCUCCUACAUGGGUGGCAGGGGCCUAAGGACUUGGGCCAUCUGCUGCUGCUUUCACAGGCACAUUGGCAGGGAGCUGGAUCAGAAGCAGAGCAGCUGGGACUCAAACCAGUACCCAUGUGGGAUGCUGGUGCUACAUGAGGAAGUUCAGCCCACUGCACUACAACAUCAGCCUGAAAAUGGUUGCAUUUUUGUAGAUAGGUGGCAAAAUCAUUUUGUCUCAGCUGUUUUUUUUUUUUUUUUUUAAUCUAAUUCCCAUGUGUUUGCCAGUGCGUUUGGUUGCGUGGUUAUCAUUUUUAUGAGAAAACUGCAGAAGAAGCGGACUUUAAAUAGCCUAAAACCUCAAAGCAGACUAAUUUUCAGAGCUUAGAUUAGAAAUUAAAAUGGAAUUUGUAGAAGGGUAAGAAACUAACACCAACAUGAAAAAGCAGCCUCAGCUGGUGACAAAGACAGACUGUUGGAAUUGAGUCACCAUGAGCUUUGCCAGAUUUCUAUUAUCAGGACAGAAAAUAUCUCCUAGGCCUUUAUGAAGUAAUCUCUCUCCCCUUAACAAUAUGAAAAUGAAUAAAAAGUUAAGGAAAUAGAAACACUUAAGGGAAGGAAUUUGGCAAAAAAAAAAUUGAUUAUUCAAAAAUAGGCUUUGCUAGCAAGCCUCAGUUUGAAUUGAUAGGAAACCUGUGAGCAAGAGUUAGGUUCAGUUUUCAGUAAAAAACAGAAAAACUGGCAGCUACCAAAGGGUAUUGUCACUGUUAAUAAAUGAAUGAACUCUGAGGUGGCAUUAUUCUCGUUUGGCUGCUAAGGACAAUAAGACUUAGAAAUUGAUCAGUAACUGUCAGGAAAAAGUGGAGACAGAAUUUGAACCCACAGCUCUGAGACUCUUAAACCUUUCCUCUUCCAUUUUAGUGUUCUGUUUGCAGGUGAUUCACUUGUGUAAGAGUCUUAGGUUUGGAGGCAUUUCCUCUCAAUUUUCAUUAAUCUGUGUUUGAAUCCAUUUUAUAUCAUGUUAAUGCCUCUCCAUCACCAAUGUUACUGUUCAUUUGUUUUAUGUAGUAAACACUAGCUAAAAGGUGCUUUGUAAAUGGUGCAUGACUUCAGCUUCGAAUGUUCCAUGGGGCUGUUGAGUGUUGUUGGAAAGCCCAGAGAAGUUUUGCAUCAGGUCCUAAACGAUGGUGAUUGACAUUGACGCUCUGUAUUCAUAAUGGUCUAGGGCAGUGCUGUUUGUCCAAACCAUAACCUUGAAGAGUGUGUUUUGUUUCUUGUGAGUAAAUCCUUGAACGUCCAGUCUCCUGAUCCCAGAGACACGUACCUCUGCUGCCUGGCUGGCUGAGGUGCAGCAGACAGGACGUGCUGGAAGUGGCCUGGCUUCUGGUCACCGAGUCCCCGUGCCAUCUGCGCUUCCUGCCCUGUUCUCGAAAGUCCGGCCGGCCCUGGGUGUGCACUGGCUCUGUGCCCGCCUUCAGUAACGUGAUGCGUAGCUUUGCUUAGCUCUGUCAACACCCAAAACACAUUUGCUUGCCUUUAAGUAGCAGGAAUACAACCAUGUUGAUGUUGAAAAACGCUGAACGUAAUUAAUUUCUUUCCUUUGAAGCAUGGCCAUUGUUAACGAUCCCUGCUUUACUCUGCCUCUUCAGCUGGAGUCGUUCUUUGCUCCCUAAAAAUAAAUGAUUUCAUUAUGCACAUUUAUUCCAUCUGCAUUUAUUCCAAAUAGAAUUAAUAUAUUAAUACUGGGAAGCCAGGCACAUGAAAUUCACACAUGCACUUGUCUUCAUUAGCAUAGAGUUAGUGAACCUAAUAACCCUCAAUUCCAGGCUGUGGUACAUUUCAAAGGGUUUUGAACGUGCCUUGGCUUAGCUGAAACUGGAUCUCAGAGGGUGAUCAGGAAUACAUUUAAAAUUUAAGAGUUUCCCGUGCUGACUGUUCCACGUGGCCAAUGCGGGCCUUGGACUUGGUUUUCCACCUUUGUGGCAUGUGGCUAAGACAGCGUGGCUUGCUCUGGCUACUGUCCGUGUGCAUCCACACCUUGGUCUUGCUCUGAGCUCUCUGUGGAAGAGCCUCGUCUUCCGUGGCCAGUUGUGAUUGGACUUUACAUAAUGUGUUGCAGUGGCUUUUCCGUGGGAUAAGAUUAACAUAAGGGGAGUGCUCGCGUUCGGUUGGCAUUCCCGGCUCUGCCCUGCUUUCUCCGAGCUACAUGUCAGCUGUAGCGGAACCUAAAUUAUUAAUACACUCUGGGUAGUGCCUGUGCAUUGAGCUUAAUCCGGCCUGUUUUUUGGAAGUGCUGCUGCUAGUGAUUUCUGAAACAAUAGGAAUAUUGAUGUUUGGAGGCUGUAUGGAAUGAGGGCCAAGGGCCUGGGCCUGGGCCUGAGCCAUAGACUCAGAAGGCCUGGGUUUGAAUCUUGACACUGUUGCUUCUUCUCGUGGAGUCUGAAGUCUGUUGCUUCACCUCCCUGACCCUCUGCCCUCCUCCACAGUAACACCGGCUGCCGAGAUGCUGUGAACUCGGAACUAAAUUGAUGUGCAGUGAGCAGCACAAGGCAGUGAUUCAACAAAUGGCCAUUCCUCCUCCUUCCCCCUCUCUUGGCCCCUUUCCCUGGUGCUCACGACGGAAAGGAGAGUUUGUUUUCUGCUAAGCAUAUUUAGUGAGACUUGUCAGCCAAAAUGUGGGAAACAAAUUUGCUGAAGUGAAUUAGGAGCUGGGGUGUACAUGCAAGUCCAUGAUGAGGAUGCCCAGGUGUUUUUGUUGAGGGAGAGAGAGGACUCUGUAUUCCUAAAAGGACGUUAAAACCAGAGCUAAGUUUCUGUUAUGAGAAACAUGGCUAAUGAUGACCCUGAACAUGGGGUGGGGGUCCAAGUCUUAGAGAAGUGUCCUGCUUUUCCCCAAGUCACCAGGACAGCUCCCUUAGCGACAUCUACACCCCAACGCAGGUGUUGGGCCUGCCAGUCCUUUUCUUUUCCUGGGUACCCUUGUUGGGUUUAGCUGUGAAUUCCCCUUAAAGUCUCCUGCUGGGAUCAGCUAUUGACCCCAGAGUGAAAGUCACUUGAUGGAAACUUCAGUUCUAGUGACACAUGAGUGUGUUGGGGCCUGUCUCUGAUGUGCAGUUUCCCAGGGACAAUUAGGGAGAGAUUAGCAAACCAACAACAGACAAGUUUGCUUGCUAAACAUCAACUGUCAAAUCAAAGAAGGCUUCUAUAAGUACUUUCGACGGUAUUUCAGGCCUGUUGUGCCACUUCUUCUCCCCUACUUGAUUACUUGUAAUAUGCUGGAACACUGUUUGUGUUCUUUCUCUUUUUUCUCACCAUAUAAGUCAGAGAAGUCCACUGUGGAAACAACAUUAAAUACACGGAGGCAAGGAUCACGCAGAGAAACACGAUUGUUACUGACUGAAAUCUAUUUUUUGUGGGGGGAGGGAAUUUUCUGUGCACAUGUAUGUUCAAUAUCUUCUAUACCUUCUCUUGCUUUUCUCUCCCAUUUCUCAAGAAAUAAAUGCAGAUAAGAGUGGUACCUCUUAUUUUAUAACCUCAUUUUCCCCACUAGAAAUAUAAUAUGAAUAUAAGAGUAUAAUAUUGAACGCAUGUCCAUUUGAAUAAAUAUAUUUGUGUGAGUUUUUUUAAAAUUACCUUUAAUUCCAUUUUAUACAAAUGUUUUGAAGUCCCCUCAUAUUUGAUAUGAAUAUUUUAUUCUGGCCUCUUUUUCUUUUUUUUUUUUUUUAGAAAGCUUUUAUUUACUAAAUAUAAGUUUCUAAGUACAACUUUUGGAUUAUAGCUGUUCUAACCCCAGACUGGAUAUAUAGCAUUCUGCUUCAUGAAUGUACCAAAAUAUAUCCAAUUAAUCACUUACUUUUCUCUAUGUGGUUGAUUUCAAUUUUCGUUAAUAUGAAAAUUACCUCAGAGGACAAUAUAACUUCAUUUUUUGCCAAAACUGACUCUCGCAUUUUUGUUUGUUUUUUAGCAUGGCAAUUCAGAGCCUCCAUCCUCAAGCCAGAGCUGGCCGUUACAACCUCGUUUCCCACAGAUCCUCUGACCUUAAUUCUAGUUGGAAAGGCUCCCCUGGUCACCGUUCCAGGGCACACCCUGCUUUCCCGCCACUGGCCUUUGGUUGCUCUGCCUGCAACCCCUGCUUCUCCCAUUCUGUUUUAUACAAAUCCUCCCCUCCUUUAGGGCUCAUUUGCAGCUCCACCCUUUUUUGAGAAGACCAGCUGGUUUAUCCAACUGGUAGCAAUUGCUUUCAUGUUAAUUAUUAUUUCAUGAUAGUUUGUAUCUCAAGAAAUUUAAGAUAGUCUAUGUGGAAUUCGUUUUCUGUGAAGAUGUCUAGAUGAGAAGAGCCGCAAGUCUCGAUUUUGACUCUUGGCAAGGCCCCUCAGUUUGCAACUCGAGCCCGUUCCCUUGUUGGUUUAAUACUGCGGACACUGACACCAUAGCACCAGGUGUCCCUCCCUGCUUCCUCAGCACCCCCACAGCCCCCAUGCUCUGACUGCACUAAUACACCUGGGGCAGGACCCCAGUGACUAAUGGUGUGUCCCCUUCUUAGGCCCCUUGAGUCUGUCCCGGUGGGGGAAGAAAUGAUAGUGGCUGUGUCCCUCUGCUCAGGGCUCUGCUUUUCCUCCAGUCUGCCUUAGCUCACCUGAGAGUCUUCAGUGGCGGAGACUCUCAUCCGGUGAGAGGAGGCUGCACUAGGUGGUGUGACCCCCUGGCCUGCUUUGCUGAGGCUGACAAGCUUUCCAAGGACGUGAGCCUUUCCGUGAGAUAACUGGGCUGGCUGUACCCCUCUCCCUAAGGGCAUAUGUAGUUGCCUCUUAUCCAUAAUAAGUGGACGGAUGAAAUGGUAGAUAGUACCAAACCCCAUAUCUAUUUUUUCUUACACAUGCAUAUUUUUAAUACAUUUUAAUUUAUUAAUUAGGCACAGUAAGAGAUUACUUUUUUUUUUUUUUUUUACAAAGAACACUUAUUUAAUGUAUACAAACUUCAUGCAUUUCCUAUGUACAAAUUUAGGAACAUACUGAUUCUUCCCACCCUAACUUUCCUCCCACCCUUCUCCCUCACCUAUUCCCAUUCUUAUUUUUUACUAAGAUCUAUUUUCACUUAGCUUCCUACUCUUAAGACUAACCCUACACUAAGAGUUUAACAAAUAGUAUGAAAAAACAUCUAAUAAUAAAAUAGGACAAUUAUACUCUAAUCAAAUUUCUUGCACUUUGAGACUGUUUGGAACAAAAAAGGGAUUUCAUAAACACAAGCACCAUGCUAACAGUUAAUCCACCAAGAAAACUAGUAAGUGAUUAGCAGGUGGGUAGCAUGUACUGUGUGCAUACACUGGACAGAGGAAUGACGCAUGUCCUGGCUCACAUGGAGUGGGAUACUGUGAGAGCUGCUCAUGCUACUCAGAGCAGUGUGCAACUUAGAACUCGGGAAUUAUUCUGGAAUUUUCCACUCAAUAUUUUUGGGCCAUGUUUGACUAUGCCUAGGGCAUUGAAAACCAUCUAAAGCAAAUCAUGGAUGAGGAGAGACUCGUCUAUUGUAACUGGUUAAGUGUAGGGGAGGGCAAACAGUAGAACCAGGAAGCAGCACCUGUGAAACCUCUCAGCUGUGCCUCCUUUGGAAGCCCUGCCUUCCACCUGUGACUGUGAUACAGCUUGUUUCCCUCCAGGAGUCCACCGUGCGUGUUUAAAUUUCCCUGUCACCAGUGGACACUAUUUCUUACUGAACUUUCUGCCCUCUCCGGACCACUGACACAGAGGACCCUUCUCUGUACCUUGCCAAACAAACACAGGAAAGAAUGUAAAAUUCAGCUCCAAUCAACAACUCUUGUUUUCCUUAUUUAGGGUCUCAUCUAGGACCCAACUUCUUGGCUUUACUUUUAGUGAAAGAUGAUCCAGAAAUUUCACAUAAAAUAGAAUUAGCAAGUAGCUUUAUUUGGUUGCAGAAAUUUGAAAUUCAUGCAUAUAGGAGGUCUUCAAAAAGUUCAUGAAAAUUUCUAUUAUGAAAACACUGCAUGGAUUUCAAAAUGAUUGCCACCAAAAUAAACUCACCUUAGUUUUGUUUUCCCAUGAACUUUCUGAGUUACCCUCGUAAGUCUCUGGCUCUUCAACUGGCUCUUUUGUCUUACUCUCGCCUGCCCUCCUGUUUGCAUUAUUCCCAACACUGAUUUUCCCAAGUUGCCUCCCUCUUCUGCUCACGCAAUUAGCCGAGGUAAAUCUGACAUCUCACUCCACGAAGAGAGGCCCCAGCCAGGCUGCCACCUUCCACCAGUCAAUGGAUUAUUGGACAUACACAGACAUAAAGAAUAUCACUACUUUCCAACUUAAUUCAGGUUUUAUAUCUCAUGCCCUAGCCAAAAGGAAGCCUACCCAUUAUUUUAUUGGGAAAUUUUUUGAUGGGCGCCACUACAAAGCUGUGUAACCAAAAUUCCAUAUAGACACAAGAAUCACAUUUUACUGAAAUUUACAUAAUUGACACAAGAAACAUGAUUUCAAAUUCUCUUACGAUGAAUAUUUGCUAAAAUAUGUAUCAUACCUUCAUUUUAAUAACAAUUAUUAAAAUUAUAUUUAAUGGACUAAUAAUUACUUUUAUGGAUUGCAGAUUAUAAUACAUGAUUCAGUCAUUCAUUAUAGGAAGUAAAUGAAUGAAUUCAUUGCUUUGAAAUGGAAAGACAAGCUAUGUAGAAGUCUGAAUUUGAACCUCCAGGGUUUAUGUUGGGGACGAAUGCAUCCGUGUUGAAGGGCAGAAUGGCAUGGCAAAAGAAUUUCUACAGUUCAGGCAUCUUAGAGGUGGAAGGGACCUUAGAGGUCACUGCACAAAGCCUGCCUCUCCUUGACAGUAGCUCUGUGAGUUAUUGUCUGUCUCUGCUUUGGAGUCUCCUGCAGCAUCCUGCCUCUGAACACCGCCCCCAUUUCUGAACAGUUGUGAUUGUUAGAACAGGCUCUCUUAUUCUGAGACUAAAUCUAGCACCCUGUUAUGACCACCAUAUGCCAGCUAGUUAUGCAUAUAGAUGAAUAUGGCCAUAUGUAGGUGCUGCUGCUUCUCUCCAAGCUAAACACUUCCUGUUUCUUUAGCCAGGAGUCCUCCAAAGACAUAGGUUUUUGCCAGACCUCCUCAUUCCCCUUUUAGCCAUUGCGUAAUACAUAGAAUUGACACAGAAUUUCGUGUGUGCAUUACCCAGCUCAUAAUAUAUUGACAUAGCACAUCAUCAGCUGUUGCCACUAUUGGUAGAAGGGGCCAAGGUCAUGGUUAUUUUGGGGAGAAGACAAUUGAGAGCCUGUUCAGUCUGUUUUCUUGGGAACUUGUUUUUCUGUUGGCAUGUGAAUUUUCUCCUUCCUCUUCAACUUUUAAUGUCUGUGUUGGCCUUGAAAUACAUACAUUUGACUGACUUCUGAACAUAUUGGAACAUUUGCAAAUAGGAGCUAAGCAUAGAUUUGUAACAAUAUGAAAGCUUUGUCCUCUUUAAUAAUUUAUCAUCUGUGUUUUCUGUUAUGAUACUUCCCAUUACUUUAUUUCUCGUGCUUCAAAAUCAUUUCCUAGGGGCUGGCGCUUCGGUGAAGUGGGUUCAGCCAUGACUGCAGUACUGGUAUCCCAAAUGGGUGCUGGUUAGAGAGUGGCUCCACUUUGCUUCCUGCUAAUGUGCCUUGGAAAGCAGUGGAGAAUGGCCCAAGUCUCUGGGCCCCUGUACUCACGUGGGAGACCAGGAAAAACUCCUGGCCCAGCCCUGGUCAUUGUGGCCAUUUGGGGAGUGAAACAGCAGAUGGAAGAUAUUUUUUUUUUCUCUCUCUCUCUCUGUAAAUCUGCUUUCAGAUAAAUAAAUAAAUAUGUUUUUAAAGAUUUAUUUUAUUUGAAAGGCAGAGUUACAGAGAGGCAGGGAGAGGGAGAGAGGUCUUCCACCUGCUGGUUCACUCCCCAGAUGGCCAUAAUGGCUGGAGCUGCACCAAUCUGAAGCAUGAGCCAGGAACUUCUUCCAGUUCUCCUACAUAGGUGCAGGGGCCCAAGGACUUGGGACACCCUCCACUGCUUUCCUAGGCCAUAGCAGAGAGGUGGAUUGAAAGUGGAGCAGUCGAGUCUCAAACCAGGGUCCAUAUGGGAUGCUGACACAGCAAGAGGAGGCUUUACCCACUAUGCCACAGCACCAGUUCCAUAAUAAAUAUUUUUAAAAAAUAAAUCAUUUUCUAAACACGUAUUAAGGACCAACCAUAUGCUCCACAUUGUUUGUUUCCUUUUUGACUUCUGCCCUUCCAUUUUUGUUUCAGCUUUCUUUUUUACUUUCUUUAUCAUAAAAAUAUUCACUGGAAUUCAUGGAGAUAUUAGAACAGGAACUAGAACAGAUGGAAAUGCUAGUAUAGAUGGAAAACUGGAACAGAUGGAAAUAUUUCAAUAUCAGUUGGAUACCACAGAGUAACAUUAUGUAAUGCGUUACAAUUUAUGAAAGGUUGAUUUUCAUGUAUUUCAGACUAACCAAUUUAAUGGGUAAACAAUUGGCUUCUUAGGGACCAAUGUUGAUGGAUUAAAUCCUUAGAAAGUAGCACAUAUGUAGACUUAUGACCAAAAAAAGCCAAUAAGCACUAAAAAAGAACAAAAUUCUGCAAUAUUUGUUGUAGAACAGUGAAUAGCAAGCAUACAUGUUGUUUAGAUUCCUUACAUUUCAGUUCCACAAACGUGUAUAUGCUCUGUGGAUUCAGAGAGAAAUGACACAUGCUUCCCGUCCUUUGUGAUCUCAUAGGCUAGGAAAGGAGACAGACAAGCUGAAAAGAAUUAAAAUCAUUUUACAGGCCAGCGCCACAGCUUACUAGGCUAAUCCUCCACCUGCGGUGCCAGCACCCCGGGUUCUAGUCCCGGUUGGGGCGCUGGUUCUGUCCUGGUUGUUCCUCUUCCAGUGCAGCUCUCUGCUGUGGCCCGGGAGGGCAGUGGAGGAUGGCCCAGGUGCUUGGGCCCUGCACCCACAUAGGAGAACAGGAGGAAGCUCCUGGCUUCGGAUCGGCGCAGUGCCGGCCAUAGCAAUCAUUUGAGGGGUGAACCAACGGAAGGAAGACCUUUCUCUCUGUCUCUCUCUCUCUCUCUCUCUGUCUAACUCUGCCUGUCCAAAAAAAAAAAAAAAUUUUACAGUUGAUACAGAAAAUUUAGGCAGUGUCCUAGAGGCAUUACAUAGGGGCACAUCCACUGGGCCGACAAUGGAGAUGAGCUAGGCAGGCAUGCAGGUGUGGAAGCUGGUCCUCCUGGCCCGGAGGUGUGGGCAGAUGGCAUGGAGGGCACAGGUAGAAAGACUCGGGAGCGUCGGGUGGUGGGACAGCAUGCCUUGCUGACCGCCGUGGAGGAGAAGGGAAGGAGCCCAGGAGGAUGUGUGGGAGCUCCCGUGAGCUUGUGCAAGGCUGCUUGUAUUCAUUGGCUUCUGUUAGCCAACACUGCCUCCCUCUUCCUUCAGCUUUCCGCUGUUCCUGUCCACUCCUGAAAAUGUUUUUGAAAAGUAAGAAAUGUUACCCUUACUGCCAAAUUUCUGGAGUUGAAGCACUUUGGGGAGCUGAAUUCCAAUGAGGUGAUGAACUGAAGGCCAGGAGGGUACUGGCUGAGUUCUGUUGACAGGUGUCACAGCCUCUGUGCCCUGCCCAAGCAGCCAUUCAGUGUGCCUCAUGCUCCUCAGCUUGAGACUGAGACCAUCUUCACCCUGAGGACUGUAGUAUCCGCUUCCUGCCCUCCCACACACUGGAAGUAUUUGUUGUAUUCAGGAUCAAUCCUUUAAAACAGCGUCAUGUUUUAAUGCAUUCUUUCAUUUUGAGAGCAGUACAUUUAUAGUGUAUAUUUUAAAAAAAACACAAGUAGAUAAAGAGAAGAAAAUCAUCUAUAAUAAACUAAUAAACUGUGCAUGGUCAGUUGAACAUUAUUUCUUUUUCACGUGCUGUCACAAUCCUAAAAGCUUGCUUUUCAGAAAUUUAGAGAAAUGAAACAGGAAAUACUUCGGAAAGUAAUCUACUUGGAGAACAGUUUGCCUUCACAAAUCUGUUAAUAAUGAGCAUGAUUACACAUGAUAAAUAAGAAUGCUAUGGAAAUCUGCCAAGCUGAUGCUAAACAACUUGCAUUAAUGUAACCUGUCUGAAAUGUGCUAUUUUAUUGAAAGACGACUUCCUGUUUGAAGCCACAUUUGAAGAUUCCUGCAAGAAUAUUAAAAUGUACAGUCGACCUGAGCCUGAAUAAUAUUUUGAUGCAAAAAUGUUUCAUUCAUAGUAGUCAGUCACAAGAAAGGAAUGUCAUUAACCUAAAAUUCAUGAGAUGAAUUUAUUCUAAUACUUCUCAGAUGUUUACAAUCUGUAUAUUUGUAUGUAUGUAUUUUUAAUUUUGUAACAUGAGUUGUAUACUAGCAUUUGCAGUUAUAUGUUGUAGCAGAGAUAAACAGAUACUUAACCUUAUAAAAACAUUUAGUUCCCAUAAGAGCCAAAGUAGACAAAAGUGGGAGAAAACAUAGGUCAUUGUUUUCCUUUAAAGGAUUAAGCAGAUAUCUAUUGCUCAAUGCAAUAGAGAUCUAUGGUAAAUAGGAAGUCCCCUGGCUGCACUGAUUGCAAAAUGCAUGAUGGCGCUUGACAAUUGAAAAGAAAUCAUUUCAUAUUGAAACAUUGAAGUCUUGAUGCAUGCAAGUUAUUCCGUUGUUAGCAGAGUUGGGUUCUCAUCUUCUUGCAGGAAAGAAUACAGGCAUGAGACAGAGAGCAGUGGUAAGCAAAGUAGCAAGGUGUAUUGGGGUAGGGCAUCCGUAAGAACAGAUGGGACAGAAUCCGAGAGUGCCCAGUUACUCAGACUGGGGGGAAGCAAGGUUACGUGGUUAAAUGGAGAGAAUACACCUGGCAGGCCAGGCGGGCGGCCCCGCAGAGAGCUGGUGCUGAGCACGCAGCAUAGUCUGUAUUCAGACUGGGGCUUACAGGGAAAGGGCUCCUGUUCUUCCCUCCUCCUGCUCCUCCUCCAGGACAAAGGGCUGGCCGUGUAAAUUUGGAAGAAUUCUUCCCCAGGUUUUACUAGAGUGCUAUCAGACUGGGCCCACCUGGCACCGGGCAGAGGCGCCUCCCCUAGGGUGCCUGCCCUGGAGGAAGGCUGGGAAGGUUUUGCUGCUCCGUGUUACGAGGCCAGCUAAUGCAUUUGGUGCUGAGAGAGGAUUCUCCUGGGGAGCUUUCCUUGGGUGAGGGCUGAGACCACCUGUAAAGCUAUCAGGGUCUGGGCAGGACUUUGUGGUGUAAAAUCCUGGGCUGCUUCCCAAGUGAACUUGUGCAGAUACAUGGUUUGUUUUCCUCUGGCCCCUCUCACACACAUAGGCUAACCUAACACAGUUAGCAUAAAAUGAGGCAUAGAUUUGUCCUAUGGGAAAAGCCCUUCCUAGACACGGUCUGUGCGGUUGACAGCAGCUGGGACAGUCCCUUCCCCCAUGAGGGAAACUCCAGGGGCCUGUGUCAGCACCCAGGGAAUAGCCCGUGAGUGCCUGGCCCAGAGUUUCAGCUUGAGCUUGGGGUGUAACAUACAGCUUUUAAUUGCCUUCUCAGCAAUAUUUCCUUUCAUCUCACAGUCAAUAAACUGUCACGGUAAUGUCCUAGGCAGGUGUGGCAGGAGGAAUCCCCCAGCUCUCUUGUAAAUGUUCAGCCGAAGGCGUUCAUUGUGUUAGCUCAUUUGCCUUAAAAAUACAUUUCCAGAAAAAUUCUGAAAGAAACCCCAUGCUUGGAAUGCACUCUUUAAUGAUCUCAGGGAGUUUUUAAAAAUUAAGGUAGAAUUUAUUUGCAGUCAAACGCACUGAUUGCAAGUAUGUUGAGGCUCAGUUUUGACAAACACAUAGUCCUUAACCCCUGGCCUGUAGCAUGUAGAACUCUUUGUCACCCCCGCAAGUUCCUUUGUUCCUUUUUCCUGUCAGUUUCUCCUCUCCCCUCCAGGCCUUUGUUAACAAUUCUCAGCAGCAUUGUUGUGUUAAUUCACAAAUGUCCAGAGUGACGUAGCCAAGAAGGAUCCUUAAAAGUAUGUUUUCUUUUUGAGAAGUUUUUUCUCCUUACCGAACCAUUGAGAAGCACAUGCAUAGACCAAGAACGGGUAUUUCAAGCUGGGCCAGAUAGAAUUUCAGUGUGUUGUAAAACACAUCAGAGUAUCCUCGGUGUCUAGUUAUUGAUGAAUGAGUACAUCCGUUUCUAGCCUGUCCCUCCAAAAAAAAAAUUUCAAGUAAUUUUCUUUCUUGUUGUAUUUUAAUUUGUCUCUAUUGUAAUUUCCACUUCUGGUAAAUAUUGCCAGCAAUCCUUUGUGACUCUAACAUUGGUGUGCAUACCCAUUGUGUAGGGUGGGAUAAAUGAUCAGUUACUAUAAACUUAGUAACAGUGACCAGUGAACGUCAUGGAGGAGCUGAAUAGUUCAGUAUACCCCCCGGAGUUUGGAGAAGCGGUGCUUUUCUUGGUUUCUAUCCUGUCAGCCUCUGUGGGGUGAUAGGAGGCCAGUUUGAAUGCUCCCACACCCAUGCCCCAUCAUGACUAGGAACCAUUGCAGGAAAUGUGGGGCUUUCUCAUUUGGAUCUCAUGUUCACCAGACAAAGAAUACUUCUAUUUUGUGUGUGUGUGUGUGUGUGUGAGAGAGAGAGAGAGAGAGAGACACCUUGUUUAUUGACCCUGGAGAGUUCUUUCUCAUCCUUUUAGCAAAUGUGCUGUACUUGAUAAAUGAAUUUCAGAGGCAGAACUGGAAGACAGUGAACAAUGCAGAGAGAGAUACAGUUCCAGGAUAGAAGACUGCUUUGAUUUCAUUAUAGCAGCACAUGGAGUAUAGAAUGAAAUUGUGCUGCUGUUGUAAUUUAUUCUCUUUAUUAAAAUAGACAAGCAUUAGACAAGCCAUAAAAUUCCCAUCUGCAUUCACAGCAGGCUCCCACCAUCUGAAAUACUGAUCCGCCCCCCUCUCAAAAACACCCAGGAAGGAAACAUUUUAAAAUUGGGGAUUGGCAGAAUCAUAAUAUUUAAUUUCUGAAAGCCAUGAUAUCCUCAUCUGCUCUUUGGGUUGCAGCGUGCAUUUUGAAGGGAAGGCUCGCCUUCUGUACUUAAAUGUCACCGAGGACACGGGAGUUGAGUAGGAAAGACCUGCAGUGCAGCAGAGGGAAGUGAAUGGACUCCCAGCUUGGUAAUUCUGCAGUCCUGCUCCCACCACCUCCCCUGGCUAACCACCUUGAGGAGAAAAACAGUGAGGAGAAAAAGCAGUGUGCUGAUAAUCAUGCCAGAGGCAAAGCACCCAUUGUCAUUUUAGCACAGUUUUCGCCAUUGCCUGAAGGACAAAGGCUUUUAAUAGGGAGAAAUUGCCAUCCAAGGCAUGAAGAAAGAGCCUGAGCUAGAGGGAAAAAAUUUUUUUUUCUCUUCCUGACUUAAAAGCCAAACACUUUCUUGCCUUUUAGACAUAGAAAGCAUAGAAUCCUGUGAAAGGGGUGUAAAAGGUAAUUGUAAAUUUGCAUCUUCUUUUUAGCAGACUGUACCCCUAACUUGGGAGAAUUUUCUGUUUCAAUUUUUCAUGCAGGCAGUCUGAUGAAAAAUUUAAACAAACUCUUUUAGGAGUGAGUCUUCCGUCAGAUGUCACGCCAAGCUCCCAUUUGGUGGGAACGGUUAUGUAAGGCCGUCUGUGCCGUCCUUCUAAAUAAUAGAUACCUACCAAGAGUCCGGGACCUGGCAGGCUGCACUGCCUCUCUCGCCCUGGAGACUUCUAUUGAUGGCAUUUCUGAUGGUUAGAUGUGAUAGAAAAUCUUCUUACUGCUAAUCUGUUUGGCUAGGAGGGGCUAUGUCCUCACCUUAGAGGGUUAAAAAAAAAAAAAAAAAAAGUACACACAGUGCUAGAAUUAGAUAUAUUUAGUUAAAAGUAAAGCUGAUGUUAGAGCAGACUGGCCACUGAAUGAAUGGAUAAUACUGAGGUGCCUUGAGAGAUGUGGGCACUUGUGAAAAAUAAAAGCUUUGAGGUCUUGAGAGAUGUGUAUUGAUCUGUUAGGCAACAAGGGCUUCAAUAUAUGUUAGCACUUUUGAUUCUUGUGGCCCUGUGGAAGAGGGAAUCUUAUUUUCAUGGCAGUUAUACUACCUCCCCAAGGUCACGUAGUAGCUACCAAACCACCCUGAAUCCCGGGUAACUUCCUUCUCCCAUCCCCCGCCCCUGCCGUACUAAACAUGAAAAUGCAGGUGUCUACUCUGAAAUCUGCCCAAGCAAGCAUUUCAGGCCUAGCCUCAGAGUGAAAGUAGGGAAGAAAGCUCUCAGGCUGUGUGUCUCGUCCCAGAGGCUGGAGGAGAAACUCAGUCUUCAUCCCCACCCCCCACCCCCGCAGGGUCUAUGCGCUGAAGGUAAAGAGAGGGCGCAAGCGAGUGCACAGUUGGUGCACAGUGAUUUAAUCCUUCGGUCCUUUGCCCUUGGCAGGAGAGUUCCACCGAGUUGAGUACAACCUGAGAAAGAUGAAAUAUGUGUGAAGGUGUUUUGGCAGCAUUUGUGUAUUACUACAUAUAAUUAAUAUUCUUAUCAGUUAUCACUGUCACCAUCUCUCCUGCUAACAUAAUUAUGUAGCCUGUCUUCCUGGUUAGGUGUGGCUCUGGAGUCAGAUUCCCAGAGUCCCUGUGUGUGUCUUCUCCCAUUGCUUACUGACUGUACCACUUAUUACCUUCACUGUCUCUCCCAUCUGUGCAAUGGAGACAGGAAUUCCUAUCUCCUUGUCCUUGUUGGGAAAUUUUCCUGAAAUGUCCCGCUUCAAGUGUCUGGGAAAUGCUGAAUAAAUCUCUCAUACUUUCCUGUUGUCCCAUUAAAAAGCAUACUUGAGAUCAAAUCUUCAUUGAGAGUUUCAUAGAUAAGUUUUUAAAUUUUAGCCAAUUUUAGGUGUAUCUGAAACCUUUGCAACAGACAGAAAUGCUAACACGAAGUAUAUGCUUGUAACCUCGUUCAAUUUUAUACAGCUCACUCUUCCUUUUUUUUUUUUUUAAUUUUUUUCUUAUUUGACAGAGUUAUAGACAGUGAGAGAGAAAGACAGUGAAAGGUCUUCCUUCCGUUGGUUCACCCUUCACCCCCCAAAUGGCCGCUACGGUUGGUGCUGCUCUGAUCUGAAGCCAGGAGCCAGGUGCUUCCUCCUGGUCUCCCAUGCAUGUGCAGGGGCCCAAGCACUUGGGCCAUCCUCCACUGUCCUUCCGGGCCACAGCAGAGAGCUGGACUGGAAGAGGAGCAACCGGGACUAGAAUCCAGUGCCCGUAUGGGAUGCCGGCGCUGGAGGAGGAGGAUUAACCAAGUGAGCCAUGGCGCUGGCCCCUCAAUCUUCCCUUCUAAAAGCAGUUUUCCCUUUAUUGAUUUUGAGAUACAUUCAACAACAAAUAUUUGAAAAUUGCUCAAUGAAAAUGAAGAUAGUAUCAGAUUUUUGAUUAACAGAAUGUAUAAUGGAAUUUGAAAGUUAUUUUUAAAGACUGUAGAUCCAUAACAUCAUAAGAAUGACUUUUUUUUUUUUAAGGUUUAUAUAUUUGAAGGCAGAGUUACAGAGAGGCAGAGAGAGAGAGAGAGAGGUCUUCCAUUCACUGGUUCACUCCCCAGAUGGCCACAUGGCAGGAGCUGCACCAAUCCGAAGCCAGGAGCUUCUCCCAGGUCACCCACAUGGGUGCAAGGGCCCAAGGACUUGGGCCAUCUUCUACUGCCUUCCCGGGCCAUAGCAAAGAGCUGGAUCAGAAUUGGAGCAGCCGGGACUUCAACCGGCACCCAUAUGGGAUGCCGGCAUUGAAGGUGGUGGCUUUAUCCAUUAUGCCAUAGUGCCAGCCCCUCCUGUACCAUUUUUAUUCCCUUUUGAUGUCAUUUAGACACUUGCAUGCAUUUUAUAUGGAAUGAAAUCUAACUAAAAAAGGCUUUUUUUUAAUAUUUAUUUUUUACUUAUUUGAAAGAGUUGCAGAGAGGUAGAGCCAGAGAGAGGGAGAGGUCUUCCAUUCUGCUGGUUCACUCCCCAAAUGACCUGAUGGCCAGAGCAGAGCUGAUCUGAAGCCAGGAGCUUCUUCUGGCUCUCCCAAGCAGGUGCAGGGGCCCGAGGGCUUGGGCCAUCUUCUACUGCUUUUCCAGGCCUCAGCAGAGAGCUGGAUUGGAAGAGGAGCAGCCAGGACUCAAGCCAGUGCCCACAUGGGAUGCUGGCACUGCAGGCUGGGGCUUUAACCCGCUGUGCCACAGUGCUGGCCCCAAGGCUGUCUUUCAUAAACAAUAUCUUCCUCCUUUAAGAAGUUUUCCACUUUUAUUUUCUCUCAUUUUCCUUCUUUCCUUCCUCUUUCUCAGCAAAUAUUUCAGCCUCUAUUUUUCAGGCACUAUUCACUAUGCUGGAAAACAGUGGUAAAUGUCAGCACCUUGCCCUCUGGAAUUUGCAAGUCUAUGUUUUUCAUAUAUUGAAAUUUUAGUCAUCUUCUAUUUCACGUUCAAAUAUGUGGUGAUUUGGGGUAUUUAUUCAGAGGAGAAGAUCCACAAACCAGCACCUGUUAGGAGAGCUGGCCUCCACUUUUUGGAAAUACAGACUAUGCCUCUUUGUUACACUGCAUUUUCCCUUAUUUUCUUGAAAACAUGUAGUUCCUCCCCGAUUUCUAUCUGAUUUUGUAUGUUGUCCACAUUAAAAAUGAUUACAUUAUUCUCCCAUCUUGGGAAGUGGUUUCCUGGUAGGCCAUUUGUUACAUUAUAACUAGAGUCUGAAUGUGCAUUGUUGAUUUUCCUAACAAAUUCCAUACAUUUUUAUUAUUAACUGUUCUCAUGAGAUACUUCUUUACAUCGAUACUAGAAAACUGAACAACCUUGAAUAAUUUGCCAACAGGGAUAUAUGGUAGUCCAGAAUCACUCUAGAUUCUGUUGGUUUUUAAAGAAAAUGAUUUUCUUUCUUCCUUUUUACUCCAGUGGGCUUGUAACACUUUGUUAGCUCAAAAAAAAAAAAGUUUGACCUGAUCUUUUCACAUAAACUUUAAAUGUUUUUAUAAGAAAACCAACAAAAAAGGAUGCAGAAAGGACAUUGUAUACAUAUCAUCUCUUUGGCUAGUUGUGCUGCCUUAUUCAUACCUACACUAUUUUUUUUAAAAGAUUUAUUUUAUUAUUUGAAAGAGUUACAGGGAGAGAGGUCUUCCAUCUGCUGGUUCACUCCCCAGAUGGCCACAAUGACUGGAGCUGAGCUGAUCUGAAGCCAGGAGCCAGGAGCUUCUUCCAGGUCUCCCACGUGAGCACAGGGACCCAAGGACUUGGGCCAUCUUCCACUGCUUUCCCAGGCCACAGCAGAGAGCUGGAUAGGAAGAGGAGCAGCUGGGACUAGAACCGGUACCCAUAUGGGAUGCUGGUGCUUCAGGACAGGGCUUUAACUCACUGAGCCACAGCGCCAACCCUCAUACCUACAUUAAAUUUAGUCUUCAGUUCUAUGAGUCAUGUUAGGGUUUUGUUUUUCUUUCAGUUUGUUUUUAUUACUUUUAAACUUGAUGAAUCUUAAGGAAAUCAUAACAGAUUCAUCAAUGGGCAGUGGUAGUGUAUGUCUCUAGUAAAAAAAAAAAUACUCAGAUGCCCUUUUAGACCCUGAUGCUCAGGAGAAGUGGCUCCCCAUACACUUAGCCAUGCCUCCCCACCUGCCAGGGGCCAUCUGGGAAGGGCUUGAGAUGGGAGGUUCAGCUGAACAUCGUGAACCCUGCAGCAGCCUUCGGGUUGUGCUCUGUCUUGGCUCCUCUCCCUGCUCUAAGUUUCUUCAUUCUGUCCAGGUGCUGUCGGUUGCAGGUGUGGUUAAUGGGUUAGGAAUGUGUUUAGCUGCAGAUAUGAGUGUCUUUGGCUAACAGUGAGAUAAACAAAAAGGAGUUACUUUUGCUAGAGGAAAAAAAGUGAAGAACAGGACUAGCCAUUUCAGUGCCUGUGCCAGGAGAUGGAAACGCCUCCCCCAAAGCCCCAUGCCAAUGUGUGCUUGCUAAUCUUCCAGCCACAACUGCCUCUUACAAGCUCCUGUAGCUGCAAGACACGCUAGAAAAAAAAUUUGGUAGCAUCCUACUGGGAAGGUAGCAGAAGAAAGGUGGUUAGGAGUAUCCAGAGAACGAGGCUACCUCUGUCCAAGGUAACCUGUCCCAUUGACUGCCUCAGAACGAGCUCUGACUUCCUUUGUGGGAAGCCUGUCUGAAUUGCCCAUUUUCCGUGAUGCACCCAUUUGGUCUUGCAGUCAUCAUCCACUAGACUGAGCUUGCUCCUCGGGCACAGACCGUAUCUCCAUGCACAGUACCUGAGGGAGGACGCCCAGCGGAGAAGCUCAAUGAGUGAAUGAAUGAAUGUGGGGUGUGUGGAUCUGCUUGGUAUUGCCUCAGCCAGCUGCCGGAGGGAAAGGGAGAGUGCUGAAUGAGGAAAUCUCAUUUCCACCUGACAUUCCAUCCUGGUCCCUGGGCAUUCCCUGGAUGAAAUGCGAAACCACAACCCUGACCACUUUUAUUCAUUAAGGUGCUAUGCCAAGUGUUUUGCCAAGGUCUGCUGGCUCAUGUGUGAUUUUAAAAAAAAUUCCAGUUUGGGACAGUAGGCUUUCUGCCUUCUGAAAAUGUUUGUAUGCAGUUUUAACUAGUGACAGUUAUUGGGCUGCUAAGUGAUAUAAAUAUUAGUUCAGCAUAACAAUCAGCAUAGUUCUCUGAAAUGAAAAAAUAUACAAAAUAGCUACUCAAAGGAAUUACUGUUGGUUGUGCAUAGAGAGAUGUAUAAUUUAAAAGUAUUUUAAACUUCUUGGAAUUUAUCCUAAGAAGAUAAUUUUGAAAGUGUUCAAAGAUAUAUCUACAAAGUUGUUUUGCUUUUUGUUGUUGUCAGUGGUGAUGUUAAUAGUGGUGUUUUAUAUUAAAAUUUGAAAAAGCAGCUCUUCACUAGGAGUGGGAUUAAAUAGAUAAAGAAACACUAUGGAAAUGUGAAAGUGAUCAGCUUUCCUGAUAGCAUAGAAAUGUUCCUGGAUGUAUCAACCAGGUGACAUGUAUGGCAGCGGGGGUGGGGUGGGAGGUGAGGGGUGGUGUGCUUCUCAGUAGAUAAAGCCAGAAUUAUGCUACUCUAAAUGUCUGCCCAUGCAAAACGUUAGGCAUACUUCCUUUUGGAAGUGUUUGGGGAGGGAGGGGGUAGCACUGUGGUGUAGUGCAUGAAGCCGCUGCUCGCGGAGCUGGCAUUCCAUAUGAGCACUGAUGUCCUGGGUGCUCCACUUCCAGUACAGCUCCCUGCUAGUGCUCCUGGGAAAGCAGUGGAAGAUGGCCCAUGUGCUUGGGCCCCUGCACCCACCUGGGAGACGCAAAAGUAUCUCCUGGUUCUUUGCUUUGCAUAGGACCAGCUCCAGCCGUUGCGGCAUUUGUAGAUCGAUGCCCUCUCUCUGUCUCUCUCUCUGACCAACAACCAUUUUCUCCUUGCUGUAUCUUCACGAGAGCAGGAAAUCAGAACAGAAUGAACUCUAAGCAGGUAUAUCUUGUAAAUAAUAUUUCUCAGAAUGUCUUCUCCAUGUCCCCAUGUGCCAUGUUCUGUAACUAUAACGAACACUAUCCAUGAUUACAAACUCACGUGAAUUUCUGUUCAGUUGAAUAAAGUACCUGAACUAUAGGAAGCCCAAGUGGACUCGGGCAUCUCUGGAAUAGUUUCAACAUCAAGGACAAAGCAAAAAGUGAUUUCUGAAAAGUCUUGAGUUAAACUAAAAAUUAAACCCCUCAAUUCUAUUCCCUGAACAUCCCAAGUAACUAACCAUUUGCCACAAGAACUUUGAAUAAGUGAUUUCUUUGAAAUUCCAUUCUAUCAAAGUACCAUACUGUGGGCAGAAAUAUGUCACAACCACCAAGAACAGUGAGCUUAUAUCAUUAUAUUGUAAGUAGUGUAAGUGUCAGUAGCAAAAGUCUGAUUGACUCAAGCAGAAAAUGAGAAAAAGUGAGGGCAGACCAUCAGUUCUGUGGCAUGCUGACUAGUCUGCUAAGGGACUAAGAAGAGAUCACUCUGGAAGAAAGAUUAAAAAAAAAAAAAAAAAGUUUGUCUGAAGCCUUGCUUUAGAAUAUGCCUAUAUCACUCAUCUUCUUGUUCCUAGAAGUCUGCAUGUGAAAAUAGACUUUUCAAGCCAAGGAGUAAAGAUUUUAUGUUAUAUUACUUGAGAAAGUAGGUUUAUCCAGCCUUUUGUUUUUAAUGAACAGUUAAACAGGUAGCAUGUUUUUCAUUUUCACCAAUCUUUCCUAGAAAGAAUCACUGAUAAUCUUUCUCUGCAAACCUGACCUUCCUUGUUCUGUUAUGGAAAGAUCAUAGAAAGAAACUAUGAAAAAGAACUGAGUUGCUCUUUUUAGAUUAGGUUUUGCAAUAUUAUAUUUAAAGGUUAAAGUGAUUUUUCAUCCAGCAGGCUUUGCUUCAGUAAAUCCAGCUCCUGUCUCCUUGGCUCUCCUGUCACUGGAAAGGAGAAGAGAGUAGUCUAGAUAGCACUCUGCUUUUGCUCUUUCCGUGGUGAGAAAUAUUCACACCAACUUGAUUAAAAAUAAAAUGAUACGACUGUCACACACUAAGUUUCUUAAUCAUUUAGCUGAGUAUUCUUGUUCAUUCAGCCACUGGGAAUAAAACAAUUGUUUCUGAUAAAAUUAGUUAUGUACUUAAAUUAUCUUGGUCUGGGAAAUACAACAAACAUAAAAGUGCAAUUGUCUCUCCCCUUGCCAAACAAACACACACGCAUGUGUGUGUAGGUGUGCACAUAGUAUAUUGAGAUUGUAAACUGUAGUUAACUGGAACAGGCAUUUGGCUUAGCAAUUAAGAUACUGCUAAGAUUCCUGUGUUCCAAGGGACCUGGCUCCAGUUUGGUGCUGAAGGCAUAUCCUGGGAGACCUUAGUGAUGGCUCAAGUAGUUGGGUCCUGCCACUCACAAGAGAGAUAAUAUUGAGGUUCUGGUUCCUGGUUCAUUACAGACAUUUGGUUGAUGAACCAGUGGAUGAAGUUCUCUGACUCUUGAACAAUUAAGAAAAGAAAAAAAGAAAAGAAAAAACUCCUUCACUAUUGGAACUGUUUCUCAAAUUCUGAAAAAGCUAGGUAUUUUGAAUUUUUUACAUGGUCAGUUAGUUCACUAAUUCACUGUAGUAGUUCAGAAGCUGAAAAAUUACUGAUAAAUAAAAGUUUUA
Non-coding RNA from Oryctolagus cuniculus (rabbit), 21734 nucleotides. NCBI's taxonomy places the organism in Eukaryota, Metazoa, Chordata, Mammalia, Lagomorpha, Leporidae. The record is from RefSeq and is a predicted model, not a curated record.